RNAcentral lists this ribosomal RNA (388 nucleotides) under uncultured bacterium. RNAcentral's name for it is "bacterial SSU rRNA". It matches the Rfam family "Bacterial small subunit ribosomal RNA", at positions 29 to 417 of the family's 1533-position model. The record is from RNAcentral.
AUUGAACGCUGGCGGCAUGCUUUACACAUGCAAGUCGAACGGUAACGCGGGGGCAACCCUGGCGACGAGUGGCGAACGGGUGAGUAAUACAUCGGAACAUGUCCUGGAGUGGGGGAUAGCUCGGCGAAAGCCGGAUUAAUACCGCAUACGCUCUGAGGAGGAAAGCGGGGGACUCGUAAGGGCCUCGCGCUGCAGGAGUGGCCGAUGUCGGAUUAGCUAGUUGGGGGGUAAAGGCCCACCAAGGCGACGAUCCGUAGCUGGUCUGAGAGGAUGAUCAGCCACACUGGGACUGAGACACGGCCCAGACUCCUACGGGAGGCAGCAGUGGGGAAUUUUGGACAAUGGGGGCAACCCUGAUCCAGCCAUGCCGCGUGAGUGAAGAAGGCCU